RNAcentral lists this ribosomal RNA (510 nucleotides) under uncultured bacterium. RNAcentral's name for it is "partial 16S ribosomal RNA". It matches the Rfam family "Bacterial small subunit ribosomal RNA", at positions 28 to 507 of the family's 1533-position model. The record is from RNAcentral.
GACGAACGCUGGCGGCGUGCUUAACACAUGCAAGUCGAACGAAGAGCGAUGGAAGCUUGCUUCUAUCAAUCUUAGUGGCGAACGGGUGAGUAACGCGUAAUCAACCUGCCCUUCAGAGGGGGACAACAGUUGGAAACGACUGCUAAUACCGCAUACGAUCCAAUCUCGGCAUCGGGACUGGAUGAAAGGUGGCCUCUAUUUAUAAGCUAUCACUGAAGGAGGGGAUUGCGUCUGAUUAGCUAGUUGGAGGGGUAACGGCCCACCAAGGCGAUGAUCAGUAGCCGGUCUGAGAGGAUGAACGGCCACAUUGGGACUGAGACACGGCCCAGACUCCUACGGGAGGCAGCAGUGGGGAAUCUUCCGCAAUGGACGAAAGUCUGACGGAGCAACGCCGCGUGAGUGAUGACGGCCUUCGGGUUGUAAAGCUCUGUUAAUAGGGACGAAUGGUUCUUGUGCGAAUAGUGCGAGGAUUUGACGGUACCGGAAUAGAAAGCCACGGCUAACUACGUG